UACGAAGGGGGCUAGCGUUGCUCGGAAUUACUGGGCGUAAAGCGCACGUAGGCGGAUUGUUAAGUCGGGGGUGAAAUCCUGGAGCUCAACUCCAGAACUGCCUUCGAUACUGGCGAUCUCGAGUUCGGGAGAGGUGAGUGGAACUGCGAGUGUAGAGGUGAAAUUCGUAGAUAUUCGCAAGAACACCAGUGGCGAAGGCGGCUCACUGGCCCGAUACUGACGCUGAGGUGCGAAAGCGUGGGAAGCAACAGG
This 252-nucleotide ribosomal RNA is filed under the name uncultured bacterium. Its description in RNAcentral is "partial 16S ribosomal RNA". It matches the Rfam family "Bacterial small subunit ribosomal RNA", at positions 524 to 775 of the family's 1533-position model. The record is from RNAcentral.